Corvus moneduloides (New Caledonian crow) is the source of this 1542-nucleotide long non-coding RNA. Lineage: Eukaryota; Metazoa; Chordata; Aves; Passeriformes; Corvidae. The record is from Ensembl.
AUGCUGUGGGGAAAGGGGAUGGAGGAGCUCAACAGAGCGGGAUUUUUUGGGGAUGUUGGAUGGGAUGUGGGGGAUCUGAACGCUGGAGGCUGGAGGAACAGAGGAGGGAUGUGCCGGGCCAUGCCAUGCUGUGCCAUCCCGACAGGGCUCGGUGCAGCCGCGGAUAGGGAUGUGGGGAUGUGGGGACGUGUUUUGCCGCUCUCUGGCAGCCGCAUGGAUGGAGUUGCCAGGCAACUGCCGGGUGGAGGCGAAGCGGGAACAAAGCGGGAGCUGCCGGGACCCUCGUUCCUCCAUCCCUCCCCGAACCCCCCGGGCAGUGCGGCCCAGCAAAGGCCAAGGGGUCACCUGCUGUGUCCCCCCGGCCGCUGCCGCCAUCCCACCCCGGGGUUGCCGCAGGGCCAUGGGUUUGCAGGGGGAUGGACUCGGGAGAACGGGACUAGGAGGACACAGGGUCUGUCCCACUGUUGUUUUCACCCGCUGACGUGUCCAGAGGGUGCAAGGUGGGGCUGGGGGCAGUGGGCAUGGGCAGGAUGGGUGCUCAGCAUCCCGCGGGUGCGGGGCAGGAGGAUCAGCCCCAGGCAAGCGCCACAUCUUGCCCUGCCCUGCCCUGCCCCAGAACCUGCCCCGGAACCUGCCCCGGCACCUACCCCGGCACGCCGGGGCCCGUUGCGGCCUGGCAGGCGGCAGAGGGGGGGUCUGGCAGCCACCCCGACCUGCCCGCCCUGCCCGCGGGGGCACCCAGCCCCAGGGAUGCCAGGGUGGGGGGUCUCGCACCCACCCCCGGCCCUUUCCCACACUGCGGCAGGUGCAGAGAGCUGGGCUGGGGGUCCGGGGGUGGGUCACCCCAUAGCUGGGAAUGUGCCCCUCCGUGCAGGGGACACUGGGGAGCGGCAGCACUGGGUAGGGGGAGGGGGGGGCGCGGUGCCAUGUGCCCCUGGGCUGGCGUGGGGGAGCUGUAUGGGUGUGCGAGGGGGACCAGGCACGGGGGUGUGCCGGGCGUGUGAGGCAGCACAUGGCAGGGGGCUGUGGGGCUGCGCCCCCCGGCCGCGGUGUGUGACAGCAGGGGGUGACAGACUCUGGGCUGGGUGUCUCCCCAGGCUGUACGGUGUGGUGGGGAGGUCGCGCGUGGCGGUACCCCGGGGAUGCGAGGGGGGAAUGCGGGGAGAUGGAUGCGGGGCCGGUAAUGCAUCACCUGUGCGGGGCUGCGGGGAAGCGGGCGGUGACCGUGUCCUGGGUGCGAGCCGCUGUCACCGCAGCCCCGGGGCGGGUUCGGUACCGAGUGCGGUGGUGCGGCGAGGGGGCGGGCAGGUGCCGUUGGCGGGGCCGGGGGCGGCGGCGGUGCGGGGAAAGGGGCGGGCAGGUGCCGGGGGCGGCGGCGGCGGGGCCGUAACGGGGCGGGGCGGUGCUGGCGGCGGGGCCGCGGCGGGGCCGGUGCGGGGCGGGCGCAACGCGCAGCCGGUGCGGGGCGGGCGGGGAGCGGCGCCGCGGCCCGAGCCCGAGCGGAGCCGAACGGAGCCGCCGCCGCCGCCGAUGGGCCCCUGA